UACGAAGGGGGCUAGCGUUGCUCGGAAUCACUGGGCGUAAAGGGCGCGUAGGCGGAUCUUUAAGUCGGGGGUGAAAGCCCAGGGCUCAACCCUGGAAUUGCCUCCGAUACUGGGGAUCUAGAGACCGGAAGAGGUGAGUGGAACUGCGAGUGUAGAGGUGAAAUUCGUAGAUAUUCGCAAGAACACCAGUGGCGAAGGCGGCUCACUGGUCCGGAUCUGACGCUGAGGCGCGAAAGCGUGGGGAGCAAACAGG
RNAcentral lists this unclassified non-coding RNA (253 nucleotides) under uncultured Alphaproteobacteria bacterium. Its description in RNAcentral is "contains 16S-23S intergenic spacer region". It matches the Rfam family "Bacterial small subunit ribosomal RNA", at positions 524 to 776 of the family's 1533-position model. The record is from RNAcentral. Lineage: Bacteria; Pseudomonadati; Pseudomonadota; Alphaproteobacteria.